GUAGAAAUCACAGUGUUUGCACUUUUGCACCAAGCGUCUGCUGUACAAUAGGUUUAGAGUUUUGUGUCGCAAUGUAACAAGUGACGUAGGAAAGUAUAUAUAAUAGCUGAAGUCACUAGCAUCACCAGUUACUCUGACGGACUAGCGGACUGACACAUAAAGUUAAAGAAUGGCACAACCACAAAUGUACCCAAAUGUUCCACGCCCCCCACCCGGAGGAGAUCAGUGUGUGUCGAAAGUGGAACUCCGGAUUGAGUGUCGUAAUCUACUGGACCUGGAUGUUAUGUCCAAGUCAGAUCCAUGUGCAGUGCUCUACAUGAGUCGACGAGGUGGCCACUGGGAUGAGAUUGGAAGAACGGAAAACAUUAAAAACUGCUUGGAUCCCAAGUUCUCUCGAUGCUUUAAAGUGAACUACUAUUUUGAAGAAGUACAGAAAUGCAGGGUAUGUGUGUACGAUCUGGACAACACAACGCCAGAAUUGUCCGACGAUGACUUCCUUGGCCAGCUGGAUUGUACUCUGGGACAGUUGGUGUCCAGCAACCCCUUCACAAAGCCCUUGAUGAUGCCUGAUGGACGACGCAAGGCCGGAAAUGGAGUCAUAAUAGUUCGAGCUGAGGAGGUGAAGGAGGGUGGCGAGAUAGCUUACCUGACAUUCAGGGGGAAAAACCUGGACAAGAAGGACUUUUUUGGCAAGUCUGAUCCAUAUUUGGAGAUUCUUCGCUCUACCCUGGACCGAAGCUGGCAAGUGGUCCACAGAACAGAGGUCAUCAAGAACACUCUCAACCCGAGCUGGCGGCCGUUCCAGGUUCCUCUGUCGACGUUGUGUGCUGGCAACAGGGCCCAGGAGAUUCGGUUUGAUGUCUACGACUGGGACAGUGACGGUAGCCACGACUACAUCGGCGGCUUCACCACCACCGUCGAUGAUAUGAUGAAAGCCAGUAACCAGGAGUAUUCCUGGCCGCUCAUCAACCCAAAGAAAAAAUCCAAAAAGAAAAACUAUACCAAUUCAGGCAUAUGUCUGCUUACUUCUGUGAAGAUUAUGAAGGAACACACAUUCUUAGAAUUCAUAUUCGGGGGCAUGCAGAUCAAUUUUACAGUGGGUAUAGAUUUCACAGCCUCCAAUGGUAACCCCAGUAACCCCACAUCACUGCACUACAUCAACCCCUACCAGCCGAACGAGUAUAUGCAGGCAACACGAGCUGUCGGCGAUGUGUGUCAGGAUUAUGACUCUGACAAGAUGUUCCCUGCCCUUGGGUUUGGAGCCAAGAUUCCACCGACAAUGGAUGUUUCUCACGAGUUCGCCAUCAACUUCAACAUGCAGAAUCCCUUCUGUCCAGGAAUUGAUGGUGUGCUGCAAGCUUACUCCAACUGUAUCCGACAAGUCCAGCUGUACGGCCCUACCAAUGUGUCGCCCAUCAUUCGACAUGUCGCUAGGUUCGCGCUUGCUGCUCAGCAAGAAGAGCGAGCUAAAGGGGCACAUGCGUAUUACAUCCUGCUGCUGCUGACCGAUGGCGUCCUGAGUGACAUGAGCGCCACCAAGCAGGCCAUCGUGGAGGCCUCCAAGCUGCCCAUGUCGUUGAUCAUCGUGGGUGUAGGUGGCGCUGAUUUCUCUAUGAUGGAGGAGCUGGAUGGGGAUGAUGGGCUACUGAGAGCUCCGAGCGGGGAGCCUGUCAAACGGGACAUCGUGCAGUUUGUGCCCUUCAGGGAAUUCAAGCAGAGUACCCCAGAAGAACUUGCUCGUCAUGUGUUAGCUGAAGUGCCCAAACAAGUCGUUGAGUACUACCGGCUUCAAGGCAUCCACCCUAUCAAACGCCAGCAGACGGACCCCUUUCCUUCCUAAAUGACUGCUUGAUUCCUUGUACCAUGGACUUGUUGUCUGUUGUCACUUCUGUGUCAUAACAGCGUCGAUGGAUAUGUGAACUUAGUCAAACAGGUGUUGGAGAUGACACUACCUCAGCUUCACAGAACAGGAUGCCCAGUUUUGGCGUUCCAUGCACACAUUGUGUUGCAUUCACAGACCAGUUGUGUUCACUGAUUAAAACUGGGAUAUCAACUCUAAUAAAGAACAGUGAAGGUGCAUUGGGAUUUGUUGCAUUCACAGACCAGUUGUGUAAGCGAUGAGGCAGGACAUGUUCCCUGAUUAAAACUGGGAUAUUAACUCUAAUAUAUAACAAAAAAGGUGCAUUGGGAUUUGUUGCAUUCACAGACCAGUUGUGUAAGCGAUAAGGCAGGACAUGUUCCCUGAUUAAAACUGGGAUAUUAACUCUAAUAUAUAACAAAGAAGGUGCAUUGGGAUUUGUUGCAUUCACAGACCAGUUGUGUAAGCGAUAAGGCAGGUCAUGUUCCCUGAUUAAAACUGGGAUAUUAAUUCUAAUAUAUAACAAAGAAGGUGCAUUGGGAUUUGUUGCAUUCACAGACCAGUUGUGUAAGCGAUAAGGCAGGACAUGUUCAGUGAUUAACACUGGGAUAUUAACUUUUAUAUAUAACAGUGAAGGUUUAACCCAGUGAAUAAUGCAUAAAAUGGGCCCCAGGACUGACUUAUUGUUAAUUAGACAUGUAUAUUGCUGUCGUGAGUUCAUGAGACAUGUUGCACAUAGAGGCAGCGCACAAACAUACAAAUUAGAAGUCACCUCAACAUGCUCAAACAGCAAUUCAUGAAGAAUUAUUUUUAAAAAAUGUCUACACAUCGGUGGAACAUACCCCAUAGACCCAAGAAACACCAAAAAAAUCUUUCAACACCCAAUGUGAAUGAUACAUUGUGAGUAAAUACUCAAUGGCUACAAAAAAAUAUCUGGAGCCCUGAUAAAAAUUUAGGUAAGCCUAAAGGCAGAAAGCAUUCACCAACUGACACUUUGAUAUAAACUCAACAGUACCGUACAUGUUAAUUUAUAAAGGGGAAGGUGUGACUCAUGCUGCUACAUCUGUAAAGUUCAUCUUUCCUUAAAGUUGGAGUAACAAAAAUGAAUACUUAUCAUCACGUCAUAUUGUUAAAAAAUGUUGUACAGUUGUUUCUCAAACUGUCUGAACAAAAAACAUUUCAUAUCUUCAGAAUUUAUGAUGUUUGAUUAGAAUGUUAUUGUGUUUCAUUACGUAAGACCUUAAAUGGGUAAAUAAGGUUAUCGUUACAUUAUCAUGAUUAUAUACUCCUGUGGGUGGAGAAACAUGAUAUAUGAUUUAAGCCAGUAGCUGUGCUACCUAGUUUGUCACAGUGUUUAUAAUGGGUAAAUAAGGUUAUCGUUACAUUAUCAUGAUUAUAUACCCCCAAGGGUGGAGAAACGUGAUAUAUGAUUGAAGCCAGUAGCUGUGCUACCUAGUUUGUCACAGUGUUUAUAAUGGGUAAAUAAGGUUAUCAUUACAUUAUCAUGAUUAUAUACUCCCGUGGAUGGAGAAGGUGAAGUGAGGUGAAAGAUUAUUGCACUUAUUUUGCGACGUGCAUGCACAUGUGGGUGCGGCUGCUUUUACUAGUCCAGACUGAUGC
Molecule: unclassified non-coding RNA, 3478 nt
Filed under: Haliotis rufescens (red abalone)
Lineage: Eukaryota; Metazoa; Mollusca; Gastropoda; Lepetellida; Haliotidae
Description: copine-3-like, transcript variant X1
Source: RNAcentral